GAUGAACGCUGGCGGCGUGCUUAACACAUGCAAGUCGAACGGGAAACCUUUUAUUGAAGCUUCGGCAGAUUUAGCUGGUUUCUAGUGGCGGACGGGUGAGUAACGCGUGGGUAACCUGCCUUAUACAGGGGGAUAACAACCAGAAAUGGUUGCUAAUACCGCAUAAGCGCACAGGACCGCAUGGUCCGGUGUGCAAAACUCCGGUGGUAUAAGAUGGACCCGCGUUGGAUUAGCUAGUUGGCAGGGUAACGGCCUACCAAGGCGACGAUCCAUAGCCGGCCUGAGAGGGUGAACGGCCACAUUGGGACUGAGACACGGCCCAGACUCCUACGGGAGGCAGCAGUGGGGAAUAUUGCACAAUGGGGGAAACCCUGAUGCAGCGACGCCGCGUGAAGGAAGAAGUAUCUCGGUAUGUAAACUUCUAUCAGCAGGGAAGAUAGUGACGGUACCUGACUAAGAAGCCCCGGCUAACUACGUG
RNAcentral lists this ribosomal RNA (478 nucleotides) under uncultured bacterium. RNAcentral describes it as "partial 16S ribosomal RNA". It matches the Rfam family "Bacterial small subunit ribosomal RNA", at positions 28 to 507 of the family's 1533-position model. The record is from RNAcentral.